Molecule: long non-coding RNA, 1529 nt
Organism: Dunckerocampus dactyliophorus (ringed pipefish)
Lineage: Eukaryota; Metazoa; Chordata; Actinopteri; Syngnathiformes; Syngnathidae
Exons: 2
Source: RefSeq, a predicted model, not a curated record
AGAUUUGCUUCUUCCUACUCCCUUUUUGGACAUGUGGAACUGUGAAUGGUACAAUGUGAUUUAUUCCAAUGUAACUUCUAUGCAUGUUCAAGGUAAAUUAAACCAUUCCCAUUGCCAUAAAAGAGCACUGAAAAAUAUCAAUCUCAUCACGCUGGUAUCGACGCGAUACCGAUUCUACUCUGGUGUCGAUGUUGGCAUCGAUCCACCCAUCUUGGUGUCGAUGUUGGCAUCGAUCCGCCCAUCUCUCAACUGUCGCCUCUUCAUCUUCCACCGCUGUGAUGCUCGCUCUCGUCCCACAGGCUUUAUUACUAAUGUCUGUGAUGGUGUCACUACGUGGUCAAGACGAUAGCUCAACCGUAGCAGAGAGACCUUACGAUGUCUUACAGAAGCAAAAUUUGGUCACGCUAGGGAGUGUCCUCGGUGUCCUCCUGCUGCUGAUGAUCAUCAUGGCUGUGUGCGUCUACAAGCCUCUGUCCAGGCGGUGAUCGUGUCCUCAGUCGCGGGGACAAAGGCUCAUAAGGAAACUGAAAAGAAAACUGGGAGUUCACUUAACCCUCAGGCCAACGGGCGAUGCAGAAACCGACAAAGGUUGGGGGGCCUCCUAAUGGCCGGAGGCACUACCUUUCGCCCAUUUACUAGGGACACCUUGAUCACAUCUCCUGCAAUAAUCAUGUUUUUGUAUUAUGAGUUCAGACAUUGUAUAUAAUUAAUGCAGUGCAGAUUGACCUCACAUUGUAAAUAGACUGUCUUGAUGUAAAUUAGGUAAGGUUGUGUCUACUGUAUCUAUCAAAAACGUACAGCCAAGUUAGGUCAUCAAAAUAUUAGUUUUACACCACUGCAGACUAUAAGCACAAUAAUAAACACAUUGUUCAAUUAAUUGCUAAUUAUAAUUGAUCAUUACAAAGGCAGAUUUUUUGACAGAACUCUUAUUGGAUCGCAGUGUUUAAUGAAGUGUAUGUAUGCCUGCAUUCUUGUAAAUUAAAUGCAGGAAGUCACCAUCAUAGUGCAUGGAAUUAAAGUGCUUUAAUUUUUAGGAAAAACUGCAGCUCAAAUGGGGUGUUACAUACAGUACAUCGCAGUUAAAUGAACCAAAGUUGGCUUUGUAAAAAUCCCAGUAUUCACCAGUUUGGCAAAAAGAAAAAAAGAUAUGGUUCUAACAAGUGGUUUUUCAUCAGGGAUCACUAAGAUUUGCAGAGUUGUCCGUAAGUAAAAUAACUACCGCGGUUAUUCAGCAUCUGUGUGGAUGCAAUGUCCGCUUGCUUCCUGAUAAUUAAAACUUCACAAAUUUUUAAGUGGCACAGGCUAACUUUCCACCAAGUGACAAACUGUUGGCACAUGCUGAAACAAACAAUCAAGAGGUUUACAGUUGUUUGUGGCUACAGGCGGCUGACAAUAAAUGCAGAUUGCCUUUUGGAACAUAAACAGACUGCAACACUUUGCACAGGAUUGUAUCCCUGCACAGUACUCACUCGAACGGGGAUGGGGUGGAAUCAUAAAACUCAUAUUAAAACAAAAAUCUGAAUAUUCAA